Non-coding RNA from Pelobates cultripes (western spadefoot toad), 792 nucleotides. NCBI's taxonomy places the organism in Eukaryota, Metazoa, Chordata, Amphibia, Anura, Pelobatidae. The record is from the annotation of a GenBank genome assembly.
CAAAUAUCAGUUCUUUCCAGAUGUCUUCUGUCAUCUUGGUGAAGCACAUGGGUUGUUGCUUGGGGGAACCAUUGCCUGAUAGCUCACCGGGUGGUAAGCUACAUGGCAUCGGCCUCCGAAUCAGAGGUGACGCAGCGCCAGGAGGAGUUCCAGUGUUGUAGAUAGUUUCUUGGCUAAGCACUGAAGGUAGCCACUCCUGGGUGUUGUGCCAACAUAUCCUUGCAAAAUAAUAUUCCAAGCUUCAGCCUCCAGUGUAAACUGUAAGUAAAAUUUCAAUUAUCCACUGAAUGCCACUGUCAAGGACUGUGAUACCAGGUUACCGGGGUGGAUAUAGUCAGAUAGAGCUACUAUAUAGGUUCCUCCUGGUAUGGCACAGAUCAGAUAAAAGUAUGACAUUAAAGGGACACUCUAGGUACCCUAUUUAAAGGAACACUAUAGUGUUAGGAAUACAAAGCUAUAUUCCUAACACUAUAAUGUGCACCAACCCCGUGUGGCACUGAAAGGGUUAAAUAUAUUUUAAACACUUACCCUAUUCCAGCGUUGAAGUCUAUUGGCACUGUCUCAGUCUCUGCCUCCUCCGACAUCAUCGUGAGGGGUAACCGAAUGCGCGGAGAGCAACGCAUGAUAAUUUCAAGACGCUGGACAUCCUAGUGCACACCGUGAAGAAGUCCAGCAUCAUUUUACAGAGUUAAACUCUGUGAAACAGCAGAAAGUGCCUCUACACAGCUACUGGAGGCAAUCUUAAAUCUGCAGUUUCAAGGUUUUCAGAUGAAGGAUUAAGGGUCACUGCAC